AGGUGGAGAUUGUGAGUGCUUCUGUACAGCUGUGGCAGCUUAUGCUCAAGCCUGCAAUGAGGCAGAUGUUUGUGUGAACUGGAGAACACCUGAGAUCUGCCCUGUGUACUGUGACUUCUACAAUAAUGGAACAGAAGAGUGCAUAUGGCAUUACAAUCCUUGUCAUACACCUUUCUACAAAACCUGUCUCAACCUUAAUGGUACUCACAGUAAUAACAGUUUACCCCUUCUGGAAGGAUGUUAUCCAAAAUGUCCAGAGGAU
This is a long non-coding RNA of Sinocyclocheilus anshuiensis, 262 nucleotides long. RefSeq lists it as uncharacterized. The transcript is spliced from 3 exons. The record is from RefSeq and is a predicted model, not a curated record. Lineage: Eukaryota; Metazoa; Chordata; Actinopteri; Cypriniformes; Cyprinidae.